Molecule: non-coding RNA, 93 nt
Organism: Potamilus streckersoni
Lineage: Eukaryota; Metazoa; Mollusca; Bivalvia; Unionida; Unionidae
Source: the annotation of a GenBank genome assembly
GCUCCGGUGGACUAGUGGUUAGAGCGUCCGCCUCAGAUGCUGGAGGUCGUGGGUAGAUGCUGGAGGUCGUGGGUUCGAUCCCCGAUCGAGUCA